ACGACAGUUUUACUGAAUAUCCUGGGAGAUGAUGGACGGACCGGGUACAUAGGGAAUCCUACCGUGAACGUUGUCUCAUACCGGAUGGAGUAUGGAGACUUGAUAAUUUGGCACUCAUACCGGAUAGGGUAUGAGAACGGCCCGCUUUACCCUCAUACCGGACGGGGUAUUGAGCUUUAGUAAAUUAGUGUUCAUACUGGACGGGGUAUGAGGACGGUCCAUAAUUGAGAAUGAUAAAUGAAAGGGUUCACGUGUAGU
This 258-nucleotide long non-coding RNA is filed under the name Carica papaya (papaya). Its description in RNAcentral is "long non-coding RNA (CPAP_LNC009699)". The record is from RNAcentral. Lineage: Eukaryota; Viridiplantae; Streptophyta; Magnoliopsida; Brassicales; Caricaceae.